This 28-nucleotide small RNA is filed under the name Bombyx mori (domestic silkworm). RNAcentral describes it as "ovarian small RNA-14692". The record is from RNAcentral. Lineage: Eukaryota; Metazoa; Arthropoda; Insecta; Lepidoptera; Bombycidae.
CUCGUCGUGUCAAAGUGGGCAAGUACUC